This 213-nucleotide ribosomal RNA is filed under the name Triticum aestivum (bread wheat). Its description in RNAcentral is "partial small subunit ribosomal RNA". The record is from RNAcentral. Lineage: Eukaryota; Viridiplantae; Streptophyta; Magnoliopsida; Poales; Poaceae.
AUGAAAAUAUUGUCAAGGAACUGUCGGGGUCUUGGAAACGCCCCAACAGUGCGUGCCCUACUGGAUGUCCAGCGAAGAUGUUCCCCUAACAUGGUGUUUUUGUCGGAGACCCACCUUGAUAGCUAUCCGGCAGAAUGUUUAAGGAGGAGGAUGAAGAUGGACCAGAAACUUGUGUGCACGAGUAAUGGAAGAAGUGGUGGUUUAGUUCUUUUU